GGCCUCAUCGUCUAACGGUUAGGACAACGGGUUCUCAAUCCGUCAAUCGGGGUUCGAUCCCCCGUGAGGUCACCG
This 75-nucleotide transfer RNA is filed under the name Bacteroidetes bacterium RIFCSPHIGHO2_02_FULL_44_7. RNAcentral's name for it is "tRNA-Glu". It matches the Rfam family "tRNA". Rfam says of the family: Transfer RNA (tRNA) molecules are approximately 80 nucleotides in length. Their secondary structure includes four short double-helical elements and three loops (D, anti-codon, and T loops). Further hydrogen bonds mediate the characteristic L-shaped molecular structure. tRNAs have two regions of fundamental functional importance: the anti-codon, which is responsible for specific mRNA codon recognition, and the 3' end, to which the tRNAs corresponding amino acid is attached (by aminoacyl-tRNA synthetases). tRNAs cope with the degeneracy of the genetic code in two manners: having more than one tRNA (with a specific anti-codon) for a particular amino acid; and 'wobble' base-pairing, i.e. permitting non-standard base-pairing at the 3rd anti-codon position. RNAcentral also lists the same sequence under 1 other name. Lineage: Bacteria; Pseudomonadati; Bacteroidota. The record is from RNAcentral.